Molecule: unclassified non-coding RNA, 87 nt
Filed under: Chryseobacterium jejuense
Lineage: Bacteria; Pseudomonadati; Bacteroidota; Flavobacteriia; Flavobacteriales; Weeksellaceae
Description: Flavo-1 RNA
Source: RNAcentral
CCCUAGCCCCGAUAGUAACGGUUACCCCGCAACACGCGUAAGCCUUAGCCCUGGUGUGAGGAGUAUGAGUGGAUAGCGGGAUAAAGC